AUUGAACGCUGGCGGCAUGCCUUACACAUGCAAGUCGAACGGCAGCACGGGUACUUGUACCUGGUGGCGAGUGGCGAACGGGUGAGUAAUACAUCGGAACGUACCUUAUCGUGGGGGAUAACGCAGCGAAAGCUGUGCUAAUACCGCAUACGCCCUUAGGGGGAAAGCGGGGGAUCGCAAGACCUCGCGCGAUUAGAGCGGCCGAUGCCUGAUUAGCUUGUUGGUGGGGUAAAAGCCCACCAAGGCGACGAUCAGUAGCUGGUCUGAGAGGACGAUCAGCCACACUGGGACUGAGACACGGCCCAGACUCCUACGGGAGGCAGCAGUGGGGAAUUUUGGACAAUGGGGGAAACCCUGAUCCAGCAAUGCCGCGUGAGUGAAGAAGGCCUUCGGGUUGUAAAGCUCUUUUGUCAGGGAAGAAACACCGGCUCUAACACAGUCCGGGAAUGACGGUACCUGAAGAAUAAGCACCGGCUAACUACGUGCCAGCAGCCGCGGUAAUACGUAGGGUGCAAGCGUUAAUCGGAAUUACUGGGCGUAAAGCGUGCGCAGGCGGUUAUACAAGACAGGCGUGAAAUCCCCGGGCUUAACCUGGGAAUGGCGCCUGUGACUGUAUAGCUAGAGUGUGUCAGAGGGGGGUAGAAUUCCACGUGUAGCAGUGAAAUGCGUAGAUAUGU
RNAcentral lists this ribosomal RNA (677 nucleotides) under uncultured bacterium. Its description in RNAcentral is "bacterial SSU rRNA". It matches the Rfam family "Bacterial small subunit ribosomal RNA", at positions 28 to 699 of the family's 1533-position model. The record is from RNAcentral.